GGAUUGCCAUGGCGCCGCUGCUGGAGUACGAGCGACAGCUGGUGCUGGAACUGCUCGACACUGACGGGCUAGUAGUGUGCGCCCGCGGGCUCGGCGCGGACCGGCUCCUCUACCACUUUCUCCAGCUGCACUGCCACCCAGCCUGCCUGGUGCUGGUGCUCAACACGCAGCCGGCCGAGGAGGAGUAUUUUAUCAAUCAGCUGAAGAUAGAAGGAGUUGAACACCUCCCUCGCCGUGUAACAAAUGAAAUCACAAGCAACAGUCGCUAUGAAGUUUACACACAAGGUGGUGUUAUAUUUGCGACAAGUAGGAUACUUGUGGUUGACUUCUUGACUGAUAGAAUACCUUCAGAUUUAAUUACUGGCAUCUUGGUGUAUAGAGCCCACAGAAUAAUCGAGUCUUGUCAAGAAGCAUUCAUCUUGCGCCUCUUUCGCCAGAAAAACAAACGUGGUUUUAUUAAAGCUUUCACAGACAAUGCUGUUGCCUUUGAUACUGGUUUUUGUCAUGUGGAAAGAGUGAUGAGAAAUCUUUUUGUGAGGAAACUGUAUCUGUGGCCAAGGUAAAGAACAUUAUGUGACAAAUAAUGAUGAUAUUAUUUGUCAUC
RNAcentral lists this small RNA (604 nucleotides) under Pan troglodytes (chimpanzee). Its description in RNAcentral is "retained intron". The record is from RNAcentral. Lineage: Eukaryota; Metazoa; Chordata; Mammalia; Primates; Hominidae.